CGCGGGGUGGAGCAGCCCGGUAGCUCGUCAGGCUCAUAACCUGAAGGUCGUAGGUUCAAAUCCUGCCCCCGCAA
Molecule: transfer RNA, 74 nt
Organism: Candidatus Filomicrobium marinum
Lineage: Bacteria; Pseudomonadati; Pseudomonadota; Alphaproteobacteria; Hyphomicrobiales; Hyphomicrobiaceae
Rfam family: tRNA
About the family: Transfer RNA (tRNA) molecules are approximately 80 nucleotides in length. Their secondary structure includes four short double-helical elements and three loops (D, anti-codon, and T loops). Further hydrogen bonds mediate the characteristic L-shaped molecular structure. tRNAs have two regions of fundamental functional importance: the anti-codon, which is responsible for specific mRNA codon recognition, and the 3' end, to which the tRNAs corresponding amino acid is attached (by aminoacyl-tRNA synthetases). tRNAs cope with the degeneracy of the genetic code in two manners: having more than one tRNA (with a specific anti-codon) for a particular amino acid; and 'wobble' base-pairing, i.e. permitting non-standard base-pairing at the 3rd anti-codon position.
Source: Rfam